AUUGAAACACCUGUUUCCAUACAAUCAAAGAAGUGAAGCAAUGUCGAGCCUGGUCAGUAUCUAAAUGGGCGACUGCAUGUGAAUACCAGGUGCUGUAA
Non-coding RNA from Acanthosepion pharaonis, 98 nucleotides. Lineage: Eukaryota; Metazoa; Mollusca; Cephalopoda; Sepiida; Sepiidae. The record is from the annotation of a GenBank genome assembly.